Molecule: ribosomal RNA, 254 nt
Filed under: uncultured bacterium
Lineage: Bacteria
Description: partial 16S ribosomal RNA
Rfam family: Bacterial small subunit ribosomal RNA
Source: RNAcentral
UACGUAGGGGGGCUAGCGUUGUCCGGAAUCAUUGGGCGUAAAGCGCGUGUAGGCGGUUCGGUAAGUCCGCUGUGAAAGUCGGGGGGCUCAACCCUCGGAUGCCGGUGGAUACUGUCGAGCUUGAGUACGGAAGAGGCGAGUGGAAUUCCUGGUGUAGCGGUGAAAUGCGCAGAUAUCAGGAGGAACACCAAUUGCGAAGGCAGCUCGCUGGGCGUUACUGACGCUGAGACGCGAAAGCGUGGGGAGCAAACAGG